AUGCGACGAACGUUAGCUAUUGCGGUAAUCCUUGCGAUUGCAGCUCUUGUGAAGUGCAAACCGAAGGAGGCAAAGCGUGAUACUCGGACUGCCAGUAGAAAGUUCAUGUCGGGACCGCGUUCCCACAAGGUGACUGAUCCUACGAAGCUAGCGGGUGAAGAUCCGUUCUGCGACCUCAAGGUGGACUGCAGCGGCGCUUCAAACAGAAAUUUCGUGGACGGUAAAGAGUACCGGACUCAGAGUGGACAGUGCAAUAACCUCGACAACUACAAGUGGGGUAUGGCC
Dreissena polymorpha is the source of this 285-nucleotide long non-coding RNA. RefSeq lists it as uncharacterized. The transcript has 3 exons. The record is from RefSeq and is a predicted model, not a curated record. NCBI's taxonomy places the organism in Eukaryota, Metazoa, Mollusca, Bivalvia, Myida, Dreissenidae.